GUCAAAACUAUGGGUGUUAUGUUGGGAAUUGGAAUGAACGGAGCGGCUCUGCAAGAAACAGCUAUGGCUAAAAACAGCAAAAAUGGUAAUCGAGACUUGGUCAAGAAGAUCAAAAAGCCAAAAAUUGUCCAUUCUUAUCGCUUCGUGCGCGCCUCACUCUCUUUUUGCCCCUCACUAUUUGUAUCCUCUCCCCCCCUUUCCCUUUCCCUUGCGGAGGCAUUGGGCUAGGGCUCUAGUUGUGGCAUUCUGGCAUGAGUGCUUGAUUUUACUGCACUUUUUCUGUGUCGCCAAUUA
This 294-nucleotide unclassified non-coding RNA is filed under the name Hevea brasiliensis (rubber tree). The record is from RNAcentral. Lineage: Eukaryota; Viridiplantae; Streptophyta; Magnoliopsida; Malpighiales; Euphorbiaceae.